CAAUAGCGUAUAUUUAAGUUGUUGCAGUUAAAAAGCUCGUAGUUGGAUUUCGGGUGGGACGCAGCGGUCUCGCAUUGCGUUUGUACUGCUGCAGCCCUCCUUCUUGCCGGGGGAGGCCUCUCGGACUUCACUGUCUGGGGGUCAGAAUCGGCGAUGUUACUUUGAGUAAAUUAGAGUGUUCAAAGCAAGCUUACGCUCUGAAUAUAAUAGCAUGGGAUAACACGACAGGACUCUGGCCUAUCGUGUUGGUCUAUAGGACCAGAGUAAUGAUUAAGAGGGACAGUCGGGGGCAUUCGUAUUCCGUUGUCAGAGGUGAAAUUCUUGGAUUUACGGAAGACGAACAUCUGCGAAAGCAUUUGCCAAGGAUGUUUUCAUUGA
RNAcentral lists this ribosomal RNA (378 nucleotides) under uncultured eukaryote. RNAcentral's name for it is "partial 18S ribosomal RNA". It matches the Rfam family "Eukaryotic small subunit ribosomal RNA", at positions 592 to 976 of the family's 1831-position model. The record is from RNAcentral.